RNAcentral lists this transfer RNA (89 nucleotides) under Nanobdellota archaeon. RNAcentral describes it as "tRNA-Leu". It matches the Rfam family "tRNA". From Rfam's summary of the family: Transfer RNA (tRNA) molecules are approximately 80 nucleotides in length. Their secondary structure includes four short double-helical elements and three loops (D, anti-codon, and T loops). The record is from RNAcentral. Lineage: Archaea; Nanobdellati; Nanobdellota.
GCGGGGGUUUCCAAGCCUGGUCAAAGGAGCAGGACUUAAGAUCCUGUCGCUUAGUGCGUCCGAGAGUUCAAAUCUCUCCCCCCGCACCA